This 118-nucleotide ribosomal RNA is filed under the name Smittium mucronatum. The record is from RNAcentral. Lineage: Eukaryota; Fungi; Kickxellomycota; Harpellomycetes; Harpellales; Legeriomycetaceae.
UCUUACGGCUAUUUACACCAGAAAUCACCAAAUCUCAUAAGAUCUUUGAAGUUAAGCUGGUGAUGGCGAUGUAUGUACUGUUGUGGGGGAAAAUUCAGGAAUACGACGUGCUUAAGCC